RNAcentral lists this ribosomal RNA (916 nucleotides) under uncultured archaeon. RNAcentral's name for it is "bacterial SSU rRNA". It matches the Rfam family "Archaeal small subunit ribosomal RNA", at positions 1 to 925 of the family's 1478-position model. The record is from RNAcentral.
UUCCGGUUGUUCCUGCGGAGGCCACUGCUACUUGGGUUCGACUAAGCCAUGCGAGUCGAGAGGGUUCGGCCCUCGGCGGACUGCUCAGUAACACGUGGAUAACCUACCCUUAGGUGGGGGAUAACCUCGGGAAACUGAGGAUAAUACCCCAUAGGUCUAGGAUGCUGGAAUGCACCUAGGCCGAAAGCUCCGGCGCCUAAGGAUGGGUCUGCGGCCUAUCAGGUUGUAGUCAGGGUAAUGACCUGACUAGCCUACGACGGGUACGGGCCCUGAGAGGGGGAGCCCGGAGAUGGACUCUGAGACACGGCCCCAGGCCCUACGGGGUGCAGCAGGCGCGAAAACUCCGCAAUACGCGCAAGCGUGACGGGGGGACCCCAAGUGCGCUCGCGCAAGCGAGGGCUUUUGCAGAGUGUAAAUAGCUCUGAGAAUAAAAGCGGGGUAAGACCGGUGCCAGCCGCCGCGGUAACACCGGCCGCUUGAGUGGUGACCGCUAUUAUUGGGCCUAAAGCGUUCGUAGCCGGUCUGGUAAGUCCUUGGGUAAAUCCACUCGUUUAACGAAUGGAAUCCUAGGGAUACUGCUAGACUUGGGGCCGGGAGAGGUCGGAGGUACUUCUAGGGUAGCGGUGAAAUGCUGUAAUCCUAGAGGGACCACCAGUGGCGAAGACGUCCGACCAGAACGGGCCCGACGGUGAGGGACGAAAGCCAGGGGAGCGAACGGGAUUAGAUACCCCGGUAGUCCUGGCCGUAAACGCUGUGGGCUAGGUGUUGCAUGCUCUACGAGGGCAUGCAGUGCCGAAGAGAAGUUGAUAAGCCUACCGCCUGGGAAGUAUUAUCGCAAGAUAGAAACUUAAAGGAAUUGGCGGGGGAGCACCACAAGGGGUGAAGUCUGCGGUUUAAUUGGAUCAACGCCGGAAAU